UACAGAGGUCUCAAGCGUUGUUCGGAUUCAUUGGGCGUAAAGCGCGUGUAGGCGGUCCGGUAAGUCCGCUGUGAAAGUCGGGGGCUCAACCCUCGGAUGCCGGUGGAUACUGUCGGGCUUGAGUACGGAAGAGGCGAGUGGAAUUCCCGGUGUAGUGGUGAAAUGCGUAGAUAUCGGGAGGAACACCAGUGGCGAAGGCGACUACCUGGCCUGUUUCUUGACGCUGAGGCGCGAAAGCUAGGGGAGCAAACGGG
This 254-nucleotide ribosomal RNA is filed under the name uncultured bacterium. Its description in RNAcentral is "partial 16S ribosomal RNA". It matches the Rfam family "Bacterial small subunit ribosomal RNA", at positions 524 to 776 of the family's 1533-position model. The record is from RNAcentral.